CCCUACGGGGGGCAGCAGUGGGGGAUAUUGCCCAAUGGGGGGAACCCUGAUGCAGCGACGCCGCGUGGGUGAAGAAGCGCCUCGGCGCGUAAAGCCCUGUCAGCAGGGAAGAAAAUGACGGUACCUGAAGAAGAAGCCCCGGCUAACUACGUGCCAGCAGCCGCGGUAAUACGUAGGGGGCAAGCGUUAUCCGGAUUUACUGGGUGUAAAGGGGGCGCAGACGGCGAUGCAAGCCAGGAGUGAAAGCCCGGGGCCCAACCCCGGGACUGCUCUUGGAACUGCGGGGCUGGAGUGCAGGAGGGGCG
RNAcentral lists this ribosomal RNA (305 nucleotides) under uncultured bacterium. RNAcentral's name for it is "partial 16S ribosomal RNA". It matches the Rfam family "Bacterial small subunit ribosomal RNA", at positions 337 to 659 of the family's 1533-position model. The record is from RNAcentral.